RNAcentral lists this transfer RNA (74 nucleotides) under Streptomyces asiaticus. RNAcentral's name for it is "tRNA-Ile". It matches the Rfam family "tRNA". From Rfam's summary of the family: Transfer RNA (tRNA) molecules are approximately 80 nucleotides in length. Their secondary structure includes four short double-helical elements and three loops (D, anti-codon, and T loops). The record is from RNAcentral. Lineage: Bacteria; Bacillati; Actinomycetota; Actinomycetes; Kitasatosporales; Streptomycetaceae. RNAcentral also lists the same sequence under 2 other names.
GGUUGCGUAGCUCAGUGGUAGAGCGCCGGUCUUAUAAGCCGAUGCGGUCGCGGGUUCGAAUCCCGCCGCAACCA